Long non-coding RNA from Seriola aureovittata, 1007 nucleotides. RefSeq lists it as uncharacterized. The transcript has 2 exons. Lineage: Eukaryota; Metazoa; Chordata; Actinopteri; Carangiformes; Carangidae. The record is from RefSeq and is a predicted model, not a curated record.
GCGACUCUCAGCUGCUUCUCCAGAGAGUCGAUGGCCGACAUCUGAGUCCUGACCACAGACUGAGAGAGACUCACUGUUUAACAACCAUCUGCCUUUCUCUCUUCAAUUCCUUUAAACAUCCACAAGGUAAUACGACAUGAGCGCUACCUGCAGCCUGUUCUUCUCCUGCUUCAUGUCCUCCAGCUCUCCUCUCUGCUGAGACUCCAGCAUCUGAACUUUACUCUCCAGACGACUGAAAGACACGAGGAGCAAAGAAAACAGGGUUUAAACACUUCAUUCACGUGACUGAGCCGUUUUCUCCAUGAAUCUCAGAAACAGAAACUCUGCGUGUUUAUUUUUGUAACCAUGACAACCACGGUCCGGUACACCUGCUGCCACGGGGGCGGUAUCUCAGGAGACGCUCCUGAGGGUCGUAUCAGAGCGUCGCAACAAACCACCGACUGUUCCAGUUGGACGCACUUCUCGUCUUCUUCUUGGGAUAAACAUCAGCGGUGAAAUGAUUUUUGAUUUCGCUGUCAGUCCUCCAGAGACACAGAAAUGUUUUUCUGCAGCAGCAAGUCUGACACUGUGUCCAGAACAUUCACACUUUCUCUCUCUGACCCUGUAAAACUUCAACUCUUCACCUACAUACAAACAUGCAGCACUGACACUUUUGUAUUAACUAGAUGAAGGCAUUCUGGGAAAUGUAGGAGAUCCAUAAAUUUCACAGAGGAGGGGGAGGAGGAAGAGGAGGAGGAGGAGGAGGAGGAGGAGGAGGCAGGUUGAGGGAGAGUAGGAACACCACAGAGUAAAUGAGUGUAUGUCAUCACCACAUAACUCCUGGAAUGCUUCAUAUAAAUACUGGACUGUUGAACAUGGAGGUUGUGUGUAUUGUCAGAGGGAGGACGCAAAUCCAAACUAUUUGUACAACAAAUCUGUCUGUAACGGAGCAGAGGCUGUAACUCCUGAGUUACUCCCUCUCGUCAGUGAAGCCGUAAAAGCGGCGGAAUAAAGAUUAAUAACCCGAG